RNAcentral lists this ribosomal RNA (517 nucleotides) under Diodora gibberula. Its description in RNAcentral is "partial 16S ribosomal RNA". It matches the Rfam family "Bacterial large subunit ribosomal RNA", at positions 1817 to 2597 of the family's 2925-position model. The record is from RNAcentral. Lineage: Eukaryota; Metazoa; Mollusca; Gastropoda; Lepetellida; Fissurellidae.
GGCCCCUUGUGUGAGAAAAAUAGGGGGUCUGACCUGCCCGGUGACAUGUGUUAAACGGCUGCGGUAUUCUGACCGUGCAAAGGUAGCGUAAUCAUUUGCCCAUUAAUUGUGGGCUAGUAUGAAUGGUUUGACGAGGGUGCAACUGUCUCCUUGCAAUUAUAUGGAAUUUAUUUUUUGGGUGAAGAAACCCAAAUGCAGCUGAGGGACGAUAAGACCCCAUCGAGCUUUAGUGGAAUUUUGGAAAAGUAGACACACUGUGUAAAUUGCGAUGUCUGGGUGAAUCUUUGAUUGGGGCGAUCGAGAAGUAGGAAGAACCUUCUGUUGUGAUUUAACGGCUUGUUAGUGGGAGAUCUGGCUUAGUAGUGCAGAUAGGAAGAAUAAGUUACCGUGGGGAUAACAGCGUAAUCUUCUUGGAGAGUUCGUAUUGAGAAGGGGGUUUGCGACCUCGAUGUUGGAUUAAGGUUUCCUGAGGGCGUAGAAGCUUUUGAGGGUUAGUCUGUUCGACUAUUAAAACCUU